GUGUCAGCCGCCGCGGUAAAACGUAGGAAGCGAGCGUUAUCCGGAUUUACUGGGUGUAAAGCGCGUGUAGGCGGUUUGGCAAGUUGGAUGUGAAAGCUCCUGGCUUAACUGGGAGAGGUCGUUCAAAACUACCAGACUUGAGGAUGGGAGAGGGAGGCGGAAUUCCGGGUGUAGUGGUGAAAUGCGUAGAUAUCCGGAGGAACACCAGUGGCGAAAGCGGCCUCCUGGCCCAUAACUGACGCUCAGACGCGAAAGCUAGGGGAGCGAACGGGAUUAGAAACCCUGGUAGUCC
Molecule: ribosomal RNA, 292 nt
Filed under: uncultured bacterium
Lineage: Bacteria
Description: partial 16S ribosomal RNA
Rfam family: Bacterial small subunit ribosomal RNA
Source: RNAcentral